UACGUAGGGUGCGAGCGUUGUCCGGAAUUAUUGGGCGUAAAGAGCUUGUAGGUGGCUCGUUGCGUCGGGAGUGAAAACCUGCGGCUUAACCGCAGGCCUGCUUCCGAUACGGGCGAGCUAGAGUUCGGCAGGGGAGACUGGAAUUCCUGGUGUAGCGGUGAAAUGCGCAGAUAUCGGGAAGAACACCCGUGGCGAAGGCGGCUCUCUGGGACGGUACUGAUGCUGAGACGCGAAAGCGUGGGGAGCGAACAGG
This 253-nucleotide ribosomal RNA is filed under the name uncultured bacterium. RNAcentral describes it as "partial 16S ribosomal RNA". It matches the Rfam family "Bacterial small subunit ribosomal RNA", at positions 524 to 776 of the family's 1533-position model. The record is from RNAcentral.